GUGGACAAGCACUUUUGAAGAUUGAAAACAUUGCUAAAUCUUGUAAUGCAGUGGCAAUUCUGUCAACUCUUAUUUAUCACUCAGCAGUACGAGCAGGUUUUGUGAAGAAUCUGAUCUCAUUGACAGCAAAAAAUGGGAAAUCUUCUGCUCGCUGGCCUAAUCUUCCAUGGUUGCACACAGAUUCCUGGAUAAAGAACUCCAAAGACUUGCUUCCAGAAAAUAUGGAUAAUCAAUCUGAAUGUCAG
This 245-nucleotide unclassified non-coding RNA is filed under the name Hevea brasiliensis (rubber tree). The record is from RNAcentral. Lineage: Eukaryota; Viridiplantae; Streptophyta; Magnoliopsida; Malpighiales; Euphorbiaceae.